This 1242-nucleotide ribosomal RNA is filed under the name metagenome. Its description in RNAcentral is "bacterial LSU rRNA". It matches the Rfam family "Bacterial large subunit ribosomal RNA", at positions 1564 to 2815 of the family's 2925-position model. The record is from RNAcentral.
UGAAUACGAGAUGCUACGGCGUCGAAGCAGUCUAUGUCAUACUUCCAAGAAAAGCUUGCACUGUCAUAAACAAAUAAUGCCUGUACCAUAACCGACACAGGUGGGUAGGUAGAGUAUACUAAGGGGCGCGAGAUAACUCUCUCUAAGGAACUCGGCAAAAUGACUCCGUAACUUCGGGAGAAGGAGUGCCUUAUUUUAUAAGGUUGCAAUAACAAGAUCCAAGCAACUGUUUACCAAAAACACAGGUCUCCGCUAAGUCGUAAGACGAUGUAUGGGGGCUGACGCCUGCCCAGUGCCAGAAGGUUAAAGAAGUUGGUUAGCAUCCGCGAAGCUGAUAACUGAAGCCCUGGUGAACGGCGGCCGUAACAAUAACGGUCCUAAGGUAGCGAAAUUCCUUGUCGGGUAAGUUCCGACCCGCACGAAAGGCGUAAUGAUUUGGAUACUGUCUCGGAGAGGGGCUCGGUGAAAUAGACUUGUCUGUGAAGAUGCGGACUACCUGCACCAGGACAGAAAGACCCUAUGAAGCUUUACUGUAACCUGAAAUUGAAAUUGGACUUUACUUGCGCAGUAUAGGUGGGAGGCGUUGAGAAUAUUCUUGCGGGAUUAUUGGAGCCAUCAGUGAGAUACCACUCUUGUAAUGUUAGAUUUCUAACUUUGUAUCAUUAUCUGGUCAAAGAACAGUUUCAGGCGGGCAGUUUGACUGGGGCGGUCGCCUCCUAAACGGUAACGGAGGCGCACAAAGGUUUCCUCUGAACGGGUAGAAAUCGUAUCUAGAGUGUAAAGGCAUAAGGAAGCUUGACUGUGAGACCUACAAGUCGAGCAGGGACGAAAGUCGGUCUUAGUGAUCUGACGGUGCUGAGUGGAAAGGCCGUCACUCAACGGAUAAAAGUUACUCUAGGAUAACAGGCUGAUCUCCCCCAAGAGUUCACAUCGACGGGGAGGUUUGGCACCUCGAUGUCGGCUCAUCGCAUCCUGGGGCGGUAGUACGUCCCAAGGGUUGGGCUGUUCGCCCAUGAAAGCGGUACGCGAGCUGGGUUCAGAACGUCGUGAGACAGUUCGGUCCAUAUCCGGUGUAGGCGUUAGAAUAUUGAGAGGAGCCUUCUUUAGUACGAGAGGACCGAGAAGGACAUACCUCUGGUGUACCAGUUAUCGUGCCAACGGUAAACGCUGGGUAGCUAUGUGUGGAGUGGAUAACCGCUGAAAGCAUCUAAGUGGGAAGCCCACCUCAAGAUAAGUAUUCUC